AUGUCAGGGUCGCCAGGUCAGCACGGGGCUGGGACCUGCACUGCCCCAGGGCAGGGUGAACCAGGUGUGUUUCAGUGGGCAGGGCAGGGACGCACCUUCACAGUGCACGCCGUGGCCCCCAGGACCUCCCGGCACGGGCACCUGGUGCUGGUGGCUGCAGGUCUCACAGCGUUCCCCACUGACCCCAGGAGGGCACGUGCAGCGGCCCGUGUGCAGGUCACAGUGGCCCCCUUGGCACUGGCAGCCUUGGGUGGGAGGGGCGGGAGAGGCGGGAUGAGUAGCUGGCUGAGGACCCUGGGGGUACUCGCCACCCCAAGGUGCCCCGCCUGCUCGCACUCACGCCUGCAGCCCUGCUCGGGGAGCCCCCAGUGGCCGGGGGCACACUCGCGACAUUGGGGUCCCCCAGUCCCUGGUCGGCAGUGGCACUGCCCACUUUGGGGGUGGCACUCGGAACUCUCGGCGGCUGGUCCACAGGCACAUGGGCGGCAGCCCUCGCAGCCCUCGAAGCCAAAAUGUCCUUCCUGGGGGCACAGACUGCAGUCAACGGCUCUGUCCAGCCCUCAAAACCCACCUUCCUUCAGCCCUGGAGCCAUGAGGUCCCGCCCACACAGAGCCCCUCCCCUCCCACCGGGCCCCGCCCCUAUCGCCCUGAGCCCCACCCACAAACCCCACCCAUCCUACCGAGCCCCGCCCCUACACCAAGGCCCCGCCCCUCCCAGGAAGUGCUACCUGACAGCGGUCACAGCGCAGCCCAGUCACACCGGCCUUGCACAGGCAGUGUCCACUGUGGGGGUCACAGGCCUCCGUCCCACAUGGGGAGCAGUCACACCCUGCAGAAAGUCACCCUGGGAAAUCACCCCAGCUUCUUCCCAGCCCUCGGAAGCCCUUACUAGGCUCCUACUCCACAUGCACCUUCUUCCUGCCCCAAACGAAGCCCCCAGAUGCUUACUUUUCACCACCUCCCUGCUUCAUCCAGGUCCAGACCACACAGCUGCCCGCUCACUGUCCCACUGUGCCCAACUUCGCUGCAGCCCAGGCUCAGCCCCCACCCUCAAGAGAGGCCAGAGUCUCCAAACAACCCCUGGCCCAGCCAGGGGGUGCCUAACCGUGAGCUCGGGGGGCCUGGUCAGGUCCACACCAUCCAUGCUGGGCUCGGCCCAGGACACAGCCUGCUCGGGUGGGACACCCCUCGUUCCUGCCCUCCCCGCUUACGGGUGCAGUUGCCGGGCAACAGGGCAUUGCCGUAGAAGCCAGGGGCGCAGCUCUCGCAGUGGGGCCCAGUGGUGUGGCGCAGGCAGCCGCGGCAGGCGCCUGUCAGGGGGUCGCAGUCGCUGA
RNAcentral lists this long non-coding RNA (1335 nucleotides) under Cervus hanglu yarkandensis (Yarkand deer). RNAcentral's name for it is "lncRNA (ENSCHYG00000025409.1)". The record is from RNAcentral. Lineage: Eukaryota; Metazoa; Chordata; Mammalia; Artiodactyla; Cervidae.